UCGAGGAUUUUUCUCAAUGGGGGAAACCCUGAAGGAGCGACGCCGCGUGAGGGAUGAAGGUCUUCGGAUUGUAAACCUCUGUCAUCUGGGAACAAUGUGAUCUACCUAACACGUGGAUUAUUGAUAGUACCGGAAGAGGAAGCAGUGGCUAACUCUGUGCCAGCAGCCGCGGUAAUACAGAGACUGCAAGCGUUGUUCGGAUUCAUUGGGCGUAAAGGGUGCGCAGGCGGUUCGUUAAGUCGGAUGUGAAAUCUCACAGCCUAACUGUGAUAGGUCAUUCGAAACUGGCGGACUUGAGGACUGGAGAGGAGACUGGAAUAGUCGGUGUAGCGGUGAAAUGCGUAGAGAUCGACUAGAACACCGGUGGCGAAGGCGAGUCUCUGGACAGUUCCUGACGCUCAGGCACGAAAGCCAGGGGAGCAAACGGGAUUAGAUACCCCCGUAGUCC
This 448-nucleotide ribosomal RNA is filed under the name uncultured bacterium. RNAcentral's name for it is "bacterial SSU rRNA". It matches the Rfam family "Bacterial small subunit ribosomal RNA", at positions 355 to 796 of the family's 1533-position model. The record is from RNAcentral.